Astyanax mexicanus (Mexican tetra) is the source of this 826-nucleotide long non-coding RNA. RefSeq lists it as uncharacterized. The record is from RefSeq and is a predicted model, not a curated record. The transcript is spliced from 3 exons. NCBI's taxonomy places the organism in Eukaryota, Metazoa, Chordata, Actinopteri, Characiformes, Acestrorhamphidae.
GUACAGUUAAAAAGCUCCGCGGUACAGUUUAAAAAGCUCAGUGGUACAGUUUAAAAAGCUCAGUGGUACAGUUUAAAAGCUCCGCGGUACAGGUAAAAAGCUCCGCGGUACAGGUAAAAAGCUCCGCGGUACAGGUAAAAAGCUCCGCGGUACAGGUAAAAAGCUCCGCGGUACAGUUUAAAAGCUCCGCGGUACAGUUUAAAAGCUCCGCGGUACAGUUUAAAAGCUCCGCGGUACAUUUAAAAAGCUCCGCGGUACAGUUUAAAAGCUCCGCGGUACAGUUUAAAAGCUCCGCGGUACAGUUUAAAAAGCUCCGCGGUACAGUUUAAAAAGCUCCGCGGUACAGUUUAAAAGCUCCGCGGUACAGUUUAAAAAGCUCCGCGGUACAGUUUAAAAGCUCCGCGGUACAGUUUAAAAGCUCCGCGGUACAGGUAAAAAGCUCCGCGGUACAGUUUAAAAAGCUCCGCGGUACAGUUUAAAAAGCUCCGCGGUACAGUUUAAAAAGCUCCGCGGUACAGGUAAAAAGCUCCGCGGUACAGUUUAAAAAGCUCCGCGGUACAGGUAAAAAGCUCCGCGGUACAGUUUAAAAAGCUCCGCGGUACAGUUUAAAAAGCUCCGCGGUACAGUUUAAAAAGCUCCGCGGUACAGUUUAAAAAGCUCCGCGGUACAGUUUAAAAGCUCCGCGGUACAGGUAAAAAGCUCCGCGGUACAGUUUAAAAGCUCCGCGGUACAGGUAAAAAGCUCCGCGGUACAGUUUAAAAAGCUCCGCGGUACAGGUAAAAAGCUCCGCGGUACAGUUUAAAAGCUCCGCGGUACAGUUUAAAAG